This 1504-nucleotide ribosomal RNA is filed under the name Helicobacter pylori. Its description in RNAcentral is "bacterial SSU rRNA". It matches the Rfam family "Bacterial small subunit ribosomal RNA". The record is from RNAcentral. Lineage: Bacteria; Pseudomonadati; Campylobacterota; Epsilonproteobacteria; Campylobacterales; Helicobacteraceae.
UUUAUGGAGAGUUUGAUCCUGGCUCAGAGUGAACGCUGGCGGCGUGCCUAAUACAUGCAAGUCGAACGAUGAAGCUUCUAGCUUGCUAGAAUGCUGAUUAGUGGCGCACGGGUGAGUAACGCAUAGGUUAUGUGCCUUUUAGUUUGGGAUAGCCAUUGGAAACGAUGAUUAAUACCAGAUACUCCCUACGGGGGAAAGAUUUAUCGCUAAGAGAUCAGCCUAUGUCCUAUCAGCUUGUUGGUAAGGUAAUGGCUUACCAAGGCUAUGACGGGUAUCCGGCCUGAGAGGGUGAACGGACACACUGGAACUGAGACACGGUCCAGACUCCUACGGGAGGCAGCAGUAGGGAAUAUUGCUCAAUGGGGGAAACCCUGAAGCAGCAACGCCGCGUGGAGGAUGAAGGUUUUAGGAUUGUAAACUCCUUUUGUUAGAGAAGAUAAUGACGGUAUCUAACGAAUAAGCACCGGCUAACUCCGUGCCAGCAGCCGCGGUAAUACGGAGGGUGCAAGCGUUACUCGGAAUCACUGGGCGUAAAGAGCGCGUAGGCGGGAUAGUCAGUCAGGUGUGAAAUCCUAUGGCUUAACCAUAGAACUGCAUUUGAAACUACUAUUCUAGAGUGUGGGAGAGGUAGGUGGAAUUCUUGGUGUAGGGGUAAAAUCCGUAGAGAUCAAGAGGAAUACUCAUUGCGAAGGCGACCUGCUGGAACAUUACUGACGCUGAUUGCGCGAAAGCGUGGGGAGCAAACAGGAUUAGAUACCCUGGUAGUCCACGCCCUAAACGAUGGAUGCUAGUUGUUGGAGGGCUUAGUCUCUCCAGUAAUGCAGCUAACGCAUUAAGCAUCCCGCCUGGGGAGUACGGUCGCAAGAUUAAAACUCAAAGGAAUAGACGGGGACCCGCACAAGCGGUGGAGCAUGUGGUUUAAUUCGAAGAUACACGAAGAACCUUACCUAGGCUUGACAUUGAGAGAAUCCGCUAGAAAUAGUGGAGUGUUUGGCUUGCCAGACCUUGAAAACAGGUGCUGCACGGCUGUCGUCAGCUCGUGUCGUGAGAUGUUGGGUUAAGUCCCGCAACGAGCGCAACCCCCUUUCUUAGUUGCUAACAGGUUAUGCUGAGAACUCUAAGGAUACUGCCUCCGUAAGGAGGAGGAAGGUGGGGACGACGUCAAGUCAUCAUGGCCCUUACGCCUAGGGCUACACACGUGCUACAAUGGGGUGCACAAAGAGAAGCAAUACUGCGAAGUGGAGCCAAUCUUCAAAACACCUCUCAGUUCGGAUUGUAGGCUGCAACUCGCCUGCAUGAAGCUGGAAUCGCUAGUAAUCGCAAAUCAGCCAUGUUGCGGUGAAUACGUUCCCGGGUCUUGUACUCACCGCCCGUCACACCAUGGGAGUUGUGUUUGCCUUAAGUCAGGAUGCUAAAUCGGCUACUGCCCACGGCACACACAGCGACUGGGGUGAAGUCGUAACAAGGUAACCGUAGGUGAACCUGCGGUUGGAUCACCUCCUUU